This 495-nucleotide ribosomal RNA is filed under the name uncultured bacterium. Its description in RNAcentral is "partial 16S ribosomal RNA". It matches the Rfam family "Bacterial small subunit ribosomal RNA", at positions 28 to 507 of the family's 1533-position model. The record is from RNAcentral.
GAUGAACGCUGGCGGCGUGCCUAAUACAUGCAAGUAGAACGCUGAAGGAGGAGCUUGCUCUUCUGGAUGAGUUGCGAACGGGUGAGUAACGCGUAGGUAACCUGCCUGGUAGCGGGGGAUAACUAUUGGAAACGAUAGCUAAUACCGCAUGACAACAGUUAUUGCAUGAUAACUGUUUAAAAGGGGCAACUGCUCCACUACCAGAUGGACCUGCGUUGUAUUAGCUAGUUGGUGAGGUAACGGCUCACCAAGGCGACGAUACAUAGCCGACCUGAGAGGGUGAUCGGCCACACUGGGACUGAGACACGGCCCAGACUCCUACGGGAGGCAGCAGUAGGGAAUCUUCGGCAAUGGACGGAAGUCUGACCGAGCAACGCCGCGUGAGUGAAGAAGGUUUUCGGAUCGAAAAGCUCUGUUGUAAGAGAAGAACGAGUGUGAGAGUGGAAAGUUCACACUGUGACGGUAUCUUACCAGAAAGGGACGGCUAACUACGUG